GGGAUAUGAUGAGUGGUCAAAACUCACAAAUUUUUGUGAGAGGGGUGUCCGCCCAAGCCUGGUUACGACACAGGGGCACUCCAAUAUUUUACCAUCUGAUCCC
Molecule: non-coding RNA, 103 nt
Organism: Thalictrum thalictroides
Lineage: Eukaryota; Viridiplantae; Streptophyta; Magnoliopsida; Ranunculales; Ranunculaceae
Source: the annotation of a GenBank genome assembly